Molecule: ribosomal RNA, 1411 nt
Filed under: metagenome
Description: SSU rRNA
Rfam family: Eukaryotic small subunit ribosomal RNA
Source: RNAcentral
AAUCCUUUAACAAGGACCUAUUGGAGGGCAAGUCUGGUGCCAGCAGCCGCGGUAACUCCAGCUCCAAUAGCGUAUAUUAAAGUUGUUGCGGUUAAAACGUUCGUAGUUGAACUUGUGCUUCAUACGGGUAGUAUAACUAUAAUUGUAGUCUGUACUAUACCUUAUGUAUGUAAGCGUAUUACCGGUGGAGUUCUUAUAUAUAUUAAAUACCUGUAUUUAUAUGUAUUCCUCCUAUUUAAACCUGCUUCAGUGCUCUUCAUUGCGUGCUGUUGUAGGCCGGUACAAUUACUUUGAACAAAUUAGAGUGCUUAAAGCAGGCUCCAAAUGCCUGAAUAUUUUGUGCAUGGAAUAAUGAAAUAAGACCUCUGUUCUACUUUCAUUGGUUUUUAGAUCAAGAGGUAAUGAUUAAUAGAAGCAGUUUGGGGGCAUUAGUAUUACGACGCGAGAGGUGAAAUUCUUGGACCGUCGUAAGACUAACUUAAGCGAAAGCAUUUGCCAAAGAUGUUUUCAUUAAUCAUCAAAAGUUAGAGGUUUGAAGGCGAUCAGAUACCGCCCUAGUUCUAACCAUAAACGAUGCCAGCUAGCAAUUGGGUGUAGCUACUAUUAUGGCUCUCUCAGUCGCUUCCCGGGAAACCAAAGCUUUUGGGCUCCGGGGGAAGUAUGGUUGCAAAGCUGAAACUUAAAGGAAUUGACGGAAGGGCACCACCAGGAGUGGAGCCUGCGGCUUAAUUUGACUCAACACGGGAAAACUUACCAGGUCCGAACAUAAGCGUGUAAGACAGAUUGAUAGCUCUUUCUCGAAUCUAUGGGUGGUGGUGCAUGGCCGUUCUUAGUUCGUGGAGUGAUUUGUCUGGUUAAUUCCGAUAACGAACGAGACUCAAAUAUAUUAAAUAGAUGCUUUCAGGAUUAUGGUGUUUGAAGCUUUUAUAGCCUUCAUUCAUGAAUGCAGUAACAUGUGUGAGUGUUUGAAUGUGUUUAUAAAGGUGGAGCCGUACCUGUUGGUUUGUCCCAUUAUAAGGACACUAGCUUCUUAAAUGGACGAAUUGCGUCUAGCAAUAAUGAGAUUGAGCAAUAACAGGUCUGUGAUGCCCUUAGAUGUCCUGGGCUGCACGCGCGCUACAAUGAAAGUAUCAACGUGUAUUUCCUAGACCGAGAGGUCCGGGUAAACCGCUGAACCACUUUCAUGCUUGGGAUUGUGAACUGAAACUGUUCACAUGAACUUGGAAUUCCCAGUAAGUGUGAGUCAUUAACUCGCAUUGAUUACGUCCCUGCCCUUUGUACACACCGCCCGUCGCUACUACCGAUUGAAUUAUUUAGUGAGGUCUCCGGACGUGAUCACUGUAACGCCUUGCGUGUUACGGAUGUUUCGCAAAAGUUGACCGAACUUGAUUAUUUAGAGGAAGUAAAAGUC